GACGAACCGUGCAAACGUUGUUCGGAAUCACUGGGCUUAAAGGGCGCGUAGGCGGGCAGCCAAGUCUGUGGUGAAAUCUUUCGGCUUAACCGGAAAACGGCCGUGGAUACUGGCUGUCUUGAGGGAGGUAGGGGCCCGUGGAACUUCCGGUGGAGCGGUGAAAUGCGUUGAUAUCGGAAGGAACGCCGGUGGCGAAAGCGGCGGGCUGGAUCUCUUCUGACGCUGAGGCGCGAAAGCUAGGGGAG
Molecule: ribosomal RNA, 245 nt
Filed under: uncultured Gemmata sp.
Lineage: Bacteria; Pseudomonadati; Planctomycetota; Planctomycetia; Gemmatales; Gemmataceae
Description: partial 16S ribosomal RNA
Rfam family: Bacterial small subunit ribosomal RNA
Source: RNAcentral